CCCUUAGAUGUUCUGGGCCGCACGCGCGCUACACUGAUGCAUUCAACGAGCCUAUCCUUGACCGACAGGUCCGGGUAAUCUUUGAAUCUGCAUCGUGACGGGGAUAGAUUAUUGCAAUUAUUAAUCUUCAACGAGGAAUGCCUAGUAGGCGCAAGUCAUCAGCUUGCGUCGAUUACGUCCCUGCCCUUUGUACACACCGCCCGUCGCUCCUACCGAUUGGGUGUGCUGGUGAAAUGUUCGGAUCGGCCGUUUGUCGCGGUUUCCGUGUCAUGUGGCUGAGAAGUUCAUUAACCCCUCCCACCUAGAGGAAGGAGAAGUCGUAACA
Molecule: ribosomal RNA, 325 nt
Filed under: uncultured eukaryote
Lineage: Eukaryota
Description: partial 18S ribosomal RNA
Rfam family: Eukaryotic small subunit ribosomal RNA
Source: RNAcentral